GCCUGAUGCAGCGACGCCGCGUGAGGGACGACGGCCUUCGGGUUGUAAACCUCUUUCAGCACAGACGAAGCGCAAGUGACGGUAUGUGCAGAAGAAGGACCGGCCAACUACGUGCCAGCAGCCGCGGUAAUACGUAGGGUCCGAGCGUUGUCCGGAAUUACUGGGCGUAAAGAGCUCGUAGGUGGUUUGUCGCGUUGUUCGUGAAAACUCACAGCUCAACUGUGGGCGUGCGGGCGAUACGGGCAGACUAGAGUACUGCAGGGGAGACUGGAAUUCCUGGUGUAGCGGUGGAAUGCGCAGAUAUCAGGAGGAACACCGGUGGCGAAGGCGGGUCUCUGGGCAGUAACUGACGCUGAGGAGCGAAAGCGUGGGGAGCGAACAGGAUUAGAUACCCUGGUAGUCCACGCCGUAAACGGUGGGUACUAGGUGUGGGUUUCCUUCCUUGGGAUCCGUGCCGUAGCUAACGCAUUAAGUACCCCGCCUGGGGAGUACGGCCGCAAGGCUAAAACUCAAAGAAAUUGACGGGGGCCCGCACAAGCGGCGGAGCAUGUGGAUUAAUUCGAUGCAACGCGAAGAACCUUACCUGGGUUUGACAUGCACAGGACGUGCCUAGAGAUAGGUAUUCCCUUGUGGC
This 634-nucleotide ribosomal RNA is filed under the name Mycobacterium sp. Ri3Pt_6438. RNAcentral's name for it is "bacterial SSU rRNA". It matches the Rfam family "Bacterial small subunit ribosomal RNA", at positions 381 to 1027 of the family's 1533-position model. Lineage: Bacteria; Bacillati; Actinomycetota; Actinomycetes; Mycobacteriales; Mycobacteriaceae. The record is from RNAcentral.